GGCGGUCGAUGGCUUUACUGUCUCUUACUUCCAAUCCRUKAAUGGAWUGACCUUCCCGUGAAGAGGCGGGAAUAUGACAAUAAGACGAGAAGACCCUAUGGAGCUUUAAUUAACCGACCCAAAGAGAUCUUGAUAAUCAACCGACAGGGAUAACAUACCUCUACCAUGGGCCGACAAUUUAGGUUGGGGUGACCUCGGAGAAUAAAACAACCUCCGAGUGAUUUAAAUCUAGACUAACUAGUCGAAAGUACUACAUCACUUAUUGAUCCAAAAACUUGAUCAACGGAACAAGUUACCCUAGGGAUAACAAGCSCAWUCYUMUUUUAGAGUCCAUAUCGACAAUAGGAU
This 348-nucleotide ribosomal RNA is filed under the name Panthera onca (jaguar). RNAcentral's name for it is "partial 16S ribosomal RNA". It matches the Rfam family "Bacterial large subunit ribosomal RNA", at positions 1998 to 2517 of the family's 2925-position model. Lineage: Eukaryota; Metazoa; Chordata; Mammalia; Carnivora; Felidae. The record is from RNAcentral.